GGAGGUCGCCCGCGCCGCCGCAAGUUCCUUCCAGGCGGGGAUAAGCGGCUGCGAGGUAACGUGCUACACAACACCGCCCCAAAACAUUUUCCCCUAUUGGAUGGCGACUUGGGCGCUCCAUCGACUGCUGGAUGGCACCAUGCGGUUGAGGCUGCGACACCCCCCCCCCCCCCAAAUGGCACCGUCGGCUGCCCCUCUGUCACCGACAUCCAUCCCAUCGCCGGAUCUAGGAGAGCUUCGCCCGAAUCCUCUUUUGAUUCUUGCGUGUCGGUGGUGGGUGGAGAGCAGCGAGGGUGGCAGGAUUCGGAGAGGAGGCUGCGGAUCUGGGGUCCGAUAGGUCGUUCUCCCUCCUCCCCUAAAGCGGUGGCGAAGAAUGUCAGUAAAUUGUCGUUGGCGUCGUGCGCGGCAGGAACACAAUGUAACCCGGUGGACUCGAAGAUGAUGAAAUGCAUCGUGCGGUGACAUGGGAAACAUUGUCGCUAGCGCCGGAGCGGCCAUGCUUGAUCCUGGGCUGCCCAUCCUGAUUCCUAAUGCUACCGCCACACAGUCCUGUUCUACGCUGGUUGGUUGGCGAGCCAGCCGCCUCCACUACAACAUUCGUCCAUCAAAGAUGGAUCCCGUGGAGAAGAGGAGGAUCUGCUGAUCUGAAUUUCUUUGAUGAUUUUUGUUGGAGUGUUUAUAUCCUUUGUAAUUUUUUUACUUUUGAGUUUAAGCAUGUAAUUUGUUUAUUGUAUAGUGUGUGUCUGAAUGUAACAGAACCCGUGUGUAAAAGAAAAUAUUGUUAAUAUCUGACCGGCAGUGAUUUAUUUACUC
This 813-nucleotide long non-coding RNA is filed under the name Oryza sativa tropical japonica subgroup. Its description in RNAcentral is "lncRNA OsKeNa_06g0023160". The record is from RNAcentral. Lineage: Eukaryota; Viridiplantae; Streptophyta; Magnoliopsida; Poales; Poaceae.